Molecule: microRNA precursor, 86 nt
Filed under: Eisenia fetida (common brandling worm)
Lineage: Eukaryota; Metazoa; Annelida; Clitellata; Crassiclitellata; Lumbricidae
Description: Efe-Mir-1993-P1_pre stem-loop
Source: RNAcentral
UCGGGAAUAGCUGCAGAAUGCUGUGAAUAAUAUUGCGUCCAUCGAAUAUUAUCGUAUAACCAGUAUUAUGCUGUUAUUCACCGAGA